UGAAUGGUAACUAAAACCGCAC
RNAcentral lists this non-coding RNA (22 nucleotides) under Arabidopsis thaliana (thale cress). The record is from RNAcentral. Lineage: Eukaryota; Viridiplantae; Streptophyta; Magnoliopsida; Brassicales; Brassicaceae.